RNAcentral lists this ribosomal RNA (482 nucleotides) under uncultured bacterium. RNAcentral describes it as "partial 16S ribosomal RNA". It matches the Rfam family "Bacterial small subunit ribosomal RNA", at positions 30 to 505 of the family's 1533-position model. The record is from RNAcentral.
AUUGAACGCUGGCGGCAGGCCUAACACAUGCAAGUCGAGCGGAUGAAGGGAGCUUGCUCCUGGAUUCAGCGGCGGACGGGCGAGUAAUGCCUAGGAAUCUGCCUGGUAGUGGGGGAUAACGUCCGGAAACGGGCGCUAAUACCGCAUACGUCCUGAGGGAGAAAGUGGGGGAUCUUCGGACCUCACGCUAUCAGAUGAGCCUAGGUCGGAUUAGCUAGUUGGUGGGGUAAAGGCCUACCAAGGCGACGAUCCGUAACUGGUCUGAGAGGAUGAUCAGUCACACUGGAACUGAGACACGGUCCAGACUCCUACGGGAGGCAGCAGUGGGGAAUAUUGGACAAGGGGCGAAAGCCUGAUCCAGCCAUGCCGCGUGUGUGAAGAAGGUCUUCGGAUUGUAAAGCACUUUAAGUUGGGAGGAAGGGCAGUAAGUUAAUACCUUGCUGUUUUGACGUUACCAACAGAAUAAGCACCGGCUAACUUCG